GUGCUUGCUUUGGCAGUACAUAUACUAAAAGUGGAACAUACAGACAUUAGUACAGCCCCUGCCUGAGGAUGGCAAGCAAAUUCAAGAAGCAUUCCUAGUUUUA
Small nuclear RNA from Antechinus flavipes (yellow-footed antechinus), 103 nucleotides. NCBI's taxonomy places the organism in Eukaryota, Metazoa, Chordata, Mammalia, Dasyuromorphia, Dasyuridae. The record is from RefSeq and is a predicted model, not a curated record.